RNAcentral lists this transfer RNA (73 nucleotides) under Canis lupus familiaris (dog). It matches the Rfam family "tRNA". Rfam says of the family: Transfer RNA (tRNA) molecules are approximately 80 nucleotides in length. Their secondary structure includes four short double-helical elements and three loops (D, anti-codon, and T loops). The record is from Rfam by way of RNAcentral. RNAcentral also lists the same sequence under 1 other name. Lineage: Eukaryota; Metazoa; Chordata; Mammalia; Carnivora; Canidae.
ACCUAGCUGGCUCAGUCAGUAGAGCAUGAGACUCUCGAUCCCCAGGUUGUGAGUUCUAGCCCCACAUUGGGUG